This 253-nucleotide ribosomal RNA is filed under the name uncultured bacterium. Its description in RNAcentral is "partial 16S ribosomal RNA". It matches the Rfam family "Bacterial small subunit ribosomal RNA", at positions 524 to 776 of the family's 1533-position model. The record is from RNAcentral.
GACAGAGGGUGCAAACGUUGUUCGGAAUUACUGGGCGUAAAGCGCACGUAGGCGGAUUUGUAAGUCAGGGGUGAAAUCCCGGGGCUCAACCUCGGAAUUGCCUUCAAUACUGGCUGUCUUGAGUGUGAGAGAGGUGUGUGGAACUCCGAGUGUAGAGGUGAAAUUCGUAGAUAUUCGGAAGAACACCAGUGGCGAAGGCGACACACUGGCUCACUACUGACGCUGAGGCGCGAAAGCGUGGGGAGCAAACAGG